Molecule: ribosomal RNA, 497 nt
Filed under: uncultured bacterium
Lineage: Bacteria
Description: partial 16S ribosomal RNA
Rfam family: Bacterial small subunit ribosomal RNA
Source: RNAcentral
GAUGAACGCUGGCGGCGUGCCUAAUACAUGCAAGUCGAGCGAACAGACGAGGAGCUUGCUUCUCUGACGUUAGCGGCGGACGGGUGAGUAACACGUGGAUAACCUACCUAUAAGACUGGGAUAACUUCGGGAAACCGGAGCUAAUACCGGAUAAUAUAUUGAACCGCAUGGUUCAAUAGUGAAAGACGGUCUUGCUGUCACUUAUAGAUGGAUCCGCGCUGCAUUAGCUAGUUGGUAAGGUAACGGCUUACCAAGGCAACGAUGCGUAGCCGACCUGAGAGGGUGAUCGGCCACACUGGAACUGAGACACGGUCCAGACUCCUACGGGAGGCAGCAGUAGGGAAUCUUCCGCAAUGGGCGAAAGCCUGACGGAGCAACGCCGCGUGAGUGAUGAAGGUCUUCGGAUCGUAAAACUCUGUUAUUAGGGAAGAACAAAUGUGUAAGUAACUAUGCACGUCUUGACGGUACCUAAUCAGAAAGCCACGGCUAACUACGUG